AAAGGGAGACCUAAUUCCGGUAGGAGACGAAAAAAAAGUAGUCCCAACCAAGAAUCAAUCCCAAAAGGUCGGAGCGAGGCGAAAUUGGCUUUCAAACUAGGUUCUGGGUUCACACAAGACCUGAAUCAGGAAUAAGGGCUAUUAGCUCAGGUGGUUAGAGCGCACCCCUGAUAAGGGUGAGGUCCCUGGUUCGAGUCCAGGAUGGCCCACCUGCACAGGUGGCAAAAACAAAGAAAAAAAGCUCCGAAUCAGCACCUUAUCUUACUUAUACAGUAAGAGAGAAUGCUGGCUCUGAGUUCAGAGUCCAGAGGAACCUUGAAAACUGCAUAGAGCUAGGUGAAAAAGCCAAAAAAGAAGACCGCAAG
RNAcentral lists this transfer RNA (365 nucleotides) under uncultured Microcystis sp. Its description in RNAcentral is "partial 16S-23S ribosomal RNA intergenic spacer". The stretch from base 136 to 209 matches the Rfam family "tRNA". Lineage: Bacteria; Bacillati; Cyanobacteriota; Cyanophyceae; Chroococcales; Microcystaceae. The record is from RNAcentral.